Molecule: ribosomal RNA, 253 nt
Filed under: uncultured bacterium
Lineage: Bacteria
Description: partial 16S ribosomal RNA
Rfam family: Bacterial small subunit ribosomal RNA
Source: RNAcentral
UACAGAGGGGGCAAGCGUUGUUCGGAAUUACUGGGCGUAAAGGGCGCGUAGGCGGCCUGUUAAGUCGAACGUGAAAUCCCCGGGCUCAACCCGGGAACUGCGUCCGAUACUGGCAGGCUUGAAUUCGGGAGAGGGAUGUGGAAUUCCGGGUGUAGCGGUGAAAUGCGUAGAUAUCUGGAGGAACACCGGUGGCGAAGGCGGCAUCCUGGACCGAUAUUGACGCUGAUGCGCGAAAGCCAGGGGAGCAAACGGG